UAGCGGCGAGUGAAGCGGCAAAAGCUCAAAUUUGAAAUCUGGCACCUUCGGUGUCCGAGUUGUAAUUUGAAGAUUGUAACCUUGGGGUUGGCUCUUGUCUAUGUUUCUUGGAACAGGACGUCACAGAGGGUGAGAAUCCCGUGCGAUGAGAUGCCCAAUCCUAUGUAAGGUGCUUUCGAAGAGUCGAGUUGUUUGGGAAUGCAGCUCUAAGUGGGUGGUAAAUUCCAUCUAAAGCUAAAUAUUGGCGAGAGACCGAUAGCGAACAAGUACAGUGAUGGAAAGAUGAAAAGAACUUUGAAAAGAGAGUGAAAAAGUACGUGAAAUUGUUGAAAGGGAAGGGUUUGAGAUCAGACUCGAUAUUUUGUGAGCCUUGCCUUCGUGGCGGGGUGACCCGCAGCUUAUCGGGCCAGCAUCGGUUUGGGCGGUAGGAUAAUGGCGUAGGAAUGUGACUUUGCUUCGGUGAAGUGUUAUAGCCUGCGUUGAUGCUGCCUGCCUAGACCGAGGACUGCGAUUUUAUCAAGGAUGCUGGCAUAAUGAUCCCAAACCGCCCGUCUUAAACACCGGGACCAAA
RNAcentral lists this ribosomal RNA (571 nucleotides) under Meyerozyma caribbica. Its description in RNAcentral is "LSU rRNA". It matches the Rfam family "Eukaryotic large subunit ribosomal RNA", at positions 84 to 670 of the family's 3401-position model. The record is from RNAcentral. Lineage: Eukaryota; Fungi; Ascomycota; Pichiomycetes; Serinales; Debaryomycetaceae.